Molecule: small nuclear RNA, 204 nt
Filed under: Paxillus involutus ATCC 200175
Lineage: Eukaryota; Fungi; Basidiomycota; Agaricomycetes; Boletales; Paxillaceae
Source: RNAcentral
GUAUCCUUCGGGGUUGCACACGAUAAAAUUGGAACGAUACAGAGAAGUUGGUUUCUACCGCCACAGCCAAUGAACCGCUUAGUAAUGUUUUUCCCACACCACCUAUAGCCUGCUAAUUACAUAAUCAUACUAAUCAUAGCAUGGCCCCUGCACAAGGAUGACACGCUUUUCCGGAGUGGUAGACCUACGGGUCUCAAUAUUUAU